AUGUCCAUUAAUUUAAUAAUGUUAUGUUGUGACUUUUAAUGGGUCGGGGUGAUAUUCUGCCAGCUCUGCCUUUAGACCACAGAUGAUCUCCCUAAGAAACUGUUGAAUUUAUCUGGACAAUGAGAUGCUGGGCAGUAUGCAAAGUAGAGGCUUGCAAUGAGUCUCAACUGAAUUUGAACUGUGGUUAUGCAACAAGUUGGAGGA
Ochotona curzoniae (black-lipped pika) is the source of this 204-nucleotide long non-coding RNA. RefSeq lists it as uncharacterized. Lineage: Eukaryota; Metazoa; Chordata; Mammalia; Lagomorpha; Ochotonidae. The transcript has 3 exons. The record is from RefSeq and is a predicted model, not a curated record.